Molecule: long non-coding RNA, 34256 nt
Filed under: Xyrichtys novacula (pearly razorfish)
Lineage: Eukaryota; Metazoa; Chordata; Actinopteri; Labriformes; Labridae
Source: RNAcentral
CGAUACUUAUUUCCGGUCCGGUCUCAUCUGGAGACAUGCAGCUGCCUCAGUAAGAGAAGUAGCUCGAUCACGUAAUGUGUACUGUUGUUUAUUCUACCGUUACUGGCACGGCUAACAGUGUAGCAAGGCUAAUAGCAGAUGGCUAACGUAAACUUUAGCUUGCAUAUUACAUGGUGCUUCACCGUUAACUCGGCGUGACCGAGACCAGCACAGCGGGGAACAUCGUGAAGUGGGUUGAACUGAAACUUGUUGACUUAUUGUGUAUUUCACAAACUGGUUUAUUUACCGUUGAGGCUGACCACUCUCCUCUGUGUGUCCCUGAGCUGCCUGCUUCAGAUCCGUCACUUCACUGUGCUGUGAGGUAGUUAGUGAAUGAAGAUUGUCAUGAGGUCGCUGCGCCAUCUACAGGAUAAGUCGGGGAACUUUUCAAAUGGCGGAACAUUUUCAAAGUGAAACCGGAUCUUAAUCUAUGCAUUUUAUUUCUGAAAAUAUUAGCGAAAAUCUGCGAGUUUUGGCUGAUUACUAAUCAAUCUCAAACGGGCUUAAAUCGGCCGAUUUGAUUGGCUCGCAGAUAAAUCGGUCGGGCCCUAUUAAGAACAAUACGUUCACGUUUGCCUGAACUAUGGAUGAGUUCAUAAAUGAUCACUCAUUGAACGUGUUCGGGCACAACACUGCCCUGGACACAUGCAUAGUUAGGCUGAAUGUGAACUGCAAAUGGGAGAAAAAGGUUGAAUUUAGAUGCCUGACAACAUGUUGCAAUCCUUGUACCUUCAGGACAAAGUGUAUGUUUUACUGUGCAGCUGAUGGACAGAGGCAACCUUCACCACCUUUACACUAAAUGUACUGUACAGAUAGUGCUUCCCACCAGCUAGAAAAAUCACUUCAAUAAUCCUCAGAGUGAACUGAAGGACAUAUAGCCUGCAGCUCUCGCAACCUACACAGUGCCGGGGGACGUUCUUGGACACGAGAGUUCUCAUGAUCGAAUGAUUUGAUUCUGCCAGCCGUGUUCAAGCUCACUUUGGCCGAUCUAACAUUAUUAGUGACUGCGGCUCGGGUGACCUUUUCAUUACCAGUGAAAAGUGGUAGACGUUUGAAGGGAUGGUGCUCACCAGCUGCAGUGUGAGGAGAUAACACAAAGCCGUUGUUCAAUUCAUAGAGGCAAUCCUAACAAAAAUACAAAGACAUAUAAAACACGUGUCCACACAUCGCCUUAAACCUCAAACUGAAGAGUCCUGAUCCCUCGAAUUGGUUGUUCACAAGGAAAACGCCAGUUGCAUCAUGUCCACAGUAUUUUAGCUUUCAUUAUUCAAAGUCUAGGCAGCUCAGAUUCAGUGUGAUGACACAACCGGAGGGAGCAUUAAAAUCAAUAAAAAUCUCAUUUAGAUAAACUGACUGGUAAGCUUUCCCUUCCAGCUGCCAUUGUGGUGUUGCUAUCGCAGCUUACUGCAUCUCAAUGAAUUUUUACGCUCAAUACCUGAUGACUGAUGAUGCGAAGAGUAGUUUCUUGUCCGGGGCUAACUGCUGGCAGGGCAAAGAGAGGAGAAGGUUUUCAAGCUUUUCAGCAGUGUGCACAAAAGAAUGAGGCUAUAUUAGAGAGAGGGGAGAAGUUUAUUUCCUUCUAUUUCACGCUUUAUAGUUUGUGAGUUUAUUGUUUGUAAAAUUGCCAAAUCAUUCCUCAACUUUAAAUAAAAGGGUUGGACUAACUUUCAACACAAGACUGAGGUUCAGUGCCUGCAUUAAACGAAGCACACUCUGUCAUUUGAAUGGGAAGUUAGGUUUUAUUAUGUAUAUUAGCAGCAUAAUAUAAACUUAGUGUUAGUUCAGGCAGGCCACAAAGUCAAGCUUGGCCAAGUAUAUAACUUGAUACCAAUGCCAAGUUUUAAUUUCAAUAGUAAUGUAUGAAUCAUCACUGUUGCUUCUCUGUUUGGGGUCUUUGCUGCCCUCCGCGCUCCAAUCAAAAUCAAAAAGUUCAGAUCAAGUAUCUAUGGUGGCCAAGAACCGCCACUGCUGCAAAUAAAAAAAUGAAAAAAAAAAAAAAGCAAAGAAAGAAACCACAAUGGUAGUUACUGAUGCAUUAAAAAAAGAAAGAAAACGAAGCCCGCUGCAAAUAAAAAACAAAAAAUGGUACAGUUAAAAAAAACAACAAAAAAAAACAACUGAAGUUAAUGACACACAAAAAAGUGGUGAUGCAAAAAAAAAAGUUACUUGCUGCGAAAAAAAAGGAUGCAAAUAAAAAAAAGCCACGAUGGAAGUUACUGAUACAAAAAAAAAGAAAAAAAAGAAACCAAAGCCUGCUGCAAAUAAAAAAAGUAACAGUAUGGAUGAAACAAAAAAUAAUAAAAAAAACCCAAUGGAAGUCAAUGACGCAAAAAAAGUGGUGAUGAAAACAAAAAACAAAAAAAAAAGUUACUGCGAAAAAAAAAGGAUGCAAAUUUUAAAAAAGGCCACAACGAAAGUUACUGAUUUUUUUUUCGCAUCCUUAACUUCCAUUGUGGCUUUUGUAUCUGCACAGUUUCUGUUUUUAUUUGCAGCAGGCUUCGGUUUCUUUCUUUUUCUUUUUUUUUUGCAUCAGUAACUUCCUUCGUGACUUAUUUGCACCACUGUAAGUAUCAAUGCAAGAGAGCUGCAAGAAAAUGGCAACAAAAGUUUAAAAAAAAAGUGUGCUUACAUGCUGAUUUGGCCAAAACUACCCACAGAACUGUUGUUUUGUGGUGGCCGAAAGGUGGCCGAACUGAUUUCAGCAGAGCUAUGGGCACCCCUUGGAUCCGCCCCUGGCUCUGAAUCUCACUACUAUACAGUUUUAAGAGCAUUCAUUUAUUUUAAAAAACCUAAAGUAUAACUCUCUUUAAGCAGAUCACAGAGCUUCAGUCUGCCUCUGCUGUAAAAAAUCCUGAGCUGAUGAUGGAGUGGCCUCGUGGCUGUGGUGUCUCAACUUCUCAUGAAAGGGUGACAAGAACAGGGCUUUGGGAACAUCUACAUGACAGUCACAGUUAAGUCUGUUUGCACAGUGGGAGCCCACAUCCUCAAUAGCCAGGAGGGUCUAAAUUUAAUUUGUGACCCUUGAAAAAAUUUUCAGAGCAGCCUGACCUGGACUGUGGUUAUCAUGUCAUCACACCUGGCAUCUCUCAGCUUUUGUUAGCGUCAAACAGCAGGGUUGCUGUCUGAGGUGGGAGCUCUUGGCGGAAGCGGGGAAAUGGCAAGUUUAAGAAUAGAAGUGUGGUAGGCUGUGAAAAUUGCUGAAGGCUUAGUUCUUUUUUGCUCGACUCAAAGCCGUGUGUUUGAGGUUCUUUGAUUUUAUUUUUCAUUUUACUCAAGAGAGGCUGACCUUAAGCGUUGACAUGCAGUAAAAGCAUUUCUAAGUAUAGGAAUUUAAAGCCAAGCUGCACAUAAGAUGCAGCUGGUAACAACUGGAAACACAAUGUUCAAUCUUCGUUAUGUCAACUCUAAAUUGGUAUGAGUGAAUUAAGUGACAAGCUUUAGUGCCAUAAUCUGUAAAUUAAUGUUUUGCACAUGUGCUUGAGGACUCUGACAGUCUCAUAUUGACUCCUUUUGCCUAUACUACAUGUUUUCCAGCCUACAGUGCUGUUAUUAUGAUUUCACUGUUGGAUCCGUCCCCAGCCUUUUUUUCUUUUUUUGUUUUGUUUUUUCAGAAAUUUUGAAUUUGAAACCAGAACAGUGAGUUUUUAGACAAAAUUUUAACUUGAUUAGAAUUGUGAUAUUUUUCUCAAAACUUAAGGAUUGAAUUCACAAUUCUAAGUUCCAAAAUUAAUUUUUUUCACAGUAUUUUGAGUCCAAUUUUUUCUUUGGGAAAAAAAAAAAAAUCUGAAUUUGAUCAUAUUUUGAUUGACCAGAAUUGCGUUGUGACUUUAUCUACUGAAGAGUCUAAAGUCUAAAUUCAGAGAGAUAAGACCAAGAAUUGAGACUUUCAUCUCUCAAAACUAAAACUGUAAAAAAGUUGAAAAAAUAAAUAAAUACAUGACAAAAAAAAAUUUGUUCUCUAGAUAUUUAACUACAUUGUUUCUACUGAAAUGAGUCAAAAUACAAACUUUUCUUAAAAUGUUUGUAUUCAAAUUCCAAUUCUAAUUUCCAAAUUUGAUUUUUGACUUUCUUCAAAGUAUUUCGAGUUGAGGUUUUUUUUGGAAAUAAAAAAAAACUCUGAAUUUGAUCAUAGUUUGAUUGACCAGAGAAAAGACCAAGAAUUGAGACUUUUAUCUUUCAAAAAUAAAACUGUAAAAAAGUUUAAAGAAAAAAAAAAAAGAAAUAACUGAAAAAAAUAAAAAGUUGUUCUUAAGAUUUUGAACUCCAGUUUUAUAUACUGAAAUCAGUCAAAUUACAAACUUUGCUCAAAAUGUUUCAUUCAAAUUAGAAUUCUGAGUAAAAUGCAAAAUUAUUAUUAUUUUUUUAUUUCACAAAUGUUGAAUUUUAAAACAGAAUUGUGAGUUUUCAGACAAUAUCUUGACUUGUUUUUUGGGGGGAAAAAAUUUGAAUUGAAUUCAAUUUAAUCAUAUUUUGAUUAACCAGAAUUGUGACUUUAUUCACUGAAGAGUUUCAAGGCUGAAUUCAGAGAGAUAAGACCAAGAAUUGUGACUUUUAUCUCUCAAAAAUAAAACAAUGAAAACAGUUAAAAAAAGAAUCUUCUUGAUUUACUACUUUUAUGCAGAAGCCCUGUUCCUCUUCUCUAACGAAAAGAAAAUGUGUAUGUCUUAUACGCAGCUCCUCCUGAAGUGUGACAUUAAUUGUUUGGCUGUAUAUCCACUACAUGUACAUAACUUACUCCUUUCCUUAAUGGAGAGUAUUUCCUUUAACUGGUAGCCGUGUGGAUUCCCCAGUUUAACCCGUAAUUUGUUUUUUUAAUCACUUGUAAACUGGAUGUUUUGCUCGGAUAACUAACACACCAGCCUUUUCCUUAAGCUGAUAGUAAUUCAGGCCAUAUUCCCCGUUCUCUUGUCAAGCUUGCUCGACUCGAGAAUUUCACUGCUGUAAAGGAAUGAAAUAAUUAGAGGCCUCCAGUCUCUGCAGAGGUCUCCUCUUCCUUCCCCCCCAUAACCUCCAGUGACAGAACAAUUUAGACUGAAACAUUGAACACAGCCAAGACCAAAUUAUAGCAACAGCACAAGAAGCCGAUAACCAAUUUUCAACUUGUAACGCAGCAGCUUUUGUUCUCAAACUCAUCAAAUGGUAAUUAAGCUUUUCCCCGUCGGGGUCCGUGGUGUAGAGUGAGUGGACUAGACAACAGGGCGCACGAGUGCACAGCAGUCUACACUACAGAAAAAGUUAUUUACAAAGAGAAAUUGCCUUUUAAAGAAGAAAUUGAUAUUCAGAGUACUUUUUAAACCAUACUAUGUCUUUUCUUGCUGGGAAAAAGUCCUAAGUUUCCGUUGGAGAAAGCUCACUCGGCUGUAACAUUAAGUUUCCAGAGUUUCUAUUACUCCACCUCGGAGACAGUUCAAGUAAAAGGGAUGUGAUGUGAUCCAGUGGCAGUCACUGUCAAGGAAGCACAAAGACCUUCAAUCUUUAAAAAUCAGGCACCGGCAGGGAGGAAGACUAGAUAAAUGAAAAAGAAGUAGAACAAAAGUGUGAGAGCACGGCAGUGAGUGGCUCCUCCUCUCAGUCCUUUUGACACCCCGACAGCUGAUACUCAGACAGUAAUGGGGGUUUGACACCGGGCUGAUGGGCACCCAGCCUAGCACGACUUGAGGUGAAAGGCUGUCCCAUCUUCCGGCAGUGGAGGUGGCAGCCGGCAGCCACCUCGCCUGCCAUGGAGGAAAUUCUCAUUCCGGGAAACCACCGAGUGGAACCAGUCUAUAACAGGAAACCUGGGAUCUGAUCCACUCUGUACAAGUUUGUACAAAAGAAAACUUGGACUGCAUAAGCUGGGUAAAGAGACAGUCUUGAUUUAAUCAGUUUCACAUUAGACACUUUUAUAGGCAAAGACUGUUUCGUGCCAAAAGUUCCUUUACAGGAGCUUUUUUAUUCUCUUUUUUAUUUAACCAGGUUGAGAUCGAGAUCUCAUUUACAAGAGUGACCUGGCCAAGAGGUCGGCAGCACACAUCACAAUGAUAAAUAAUAACAAAGAAGAAAAUGACCUCCAGAAACAUAAUUAAAAACACAAGCACUGUCCCAUGGUCUCCCCGAGUCUGUCAUGUAAGAUUGAACGAAAGGCUUCCAGCGAAAUUAAAGCUCCUGCCACACCGGGACCGUUUUCUUCUUGUGAUUAUUUCGAACGUCAAUAAUUUUUUUUCGAACCUGUAUCCUGUCAAUACAAGCGUUCACAUCAGUGACGUUUUCCCAUCCUGUGAUAUUGCAGCAUUUAUUUCGAUUUUUCUGAAGUUUCACAUACUGUGUGUCCACUUCUGACCAAUCAGAUUUCGUGUUGUUGUGACGUCAGAUUCACAGGUAUAUCCAACAUGGCUGACUGGCUGAUUGUUAACGUGUCGGAGAACAGAGUGCUUUUUGAUAAAAGACACAAAUAUUACAAAGAUUACGACCUGAAGGACAACUUGUGGAGAAUCAUAGUGUCGGAUUUCUCAUAUGAUGAUGGUUCGUGUGCUUUAACAGUUUGCUAAACGUCUUUGUUUUAACUUUCAUCUGUGCUAAGUAACUUUAGCUUGUAAGCUAACCUGUUCAGAUACAACAUACCAUAUGUAUUUUCACUGUCUCAAACUCAAUGGCGUUGCUGUCACAGCACCAUUAGGUCUUGGUUGUUACCUUACGUUUAUGGAUUAUAGUUUAAGUACGUACUGAAGAGUACACUUUUUUGCCCAGUUCAGUUCUUAUUUGCUGAACAAUCAAAUGGAUAGUGUUGUUUGAGCGCAGGGUGUAAUGUCUUUCAGUCCUUUGAAGAAGAUCAAAGAAGGAGCUAAGCCAAGAAGAACCUUAGAAAUUAGAGUCAUCCAGUGAGUGUACCCGCGAGUACUCAGCAAAGGCCAGCCAGACUUGGCAUAAAGUUCGCAGUGAUGUGUUAGGUGACUACAACCGGUGAGGAAUCUCAGCGCACAGUGAUAGACAGUUGUUAAGGACUGCAGGCAUUUGGCUGAAGCAGUCAUAUAUAAAACAUCACCAUAAUCCAACAGUGGAAGAAAGGUAGCAGAUACAAGGUAUUUUUGAGCACUGAGGGAGAAGCAGGUUUAUUCAUGUAGUCGAAACCAAGUUUUAAUCUGAGUUUAGUGGCCAAACUAGCAAUAUGUGCAAGAAAACCCAGAUAUUUAUACACAGAUACAAGCUCAAUGAGUACACCCUGCAAAGUUAGAACAGAGGGACUGUUCCCAGGUAACUCACCCUUGCUCGAAAAUACCAUGAGUUUGGUUUUAUUUGGCGACCAAUUUGAGUUUCCAGACAGAUUAUUAAAUAUCGGGAUAAAUCUUGGAAAUUCAUAAAACCAAACACAGAAGCUAAAAUCUGUUUUCUUAAACAUCACAGAGGUGAAAGGAUCAGUCGUACAACUUAAACUUUGUACUGCUCCUUUAUUAACAUCAAAGCAGUCUGACGUUAUCCUGAGAAAAUCCGUCUAAUCCUCCAGGAUCAGACGUUUUCACAGCUUCAUGAUGAAAAGACCAGAAACUGAUGAUUAUUGGUGUGACACACAUUCUGGUCUUUACAGUAGACGGCGUCGGCCUCGCUGUUUCUCAAACCUCAGAGUGUGGCGUGGUUUGCUCUAACAGGCUCGCUGUUAAACUUUUGCUUUCAACUCGCUACUUUUUCCCCCGGGCAUAUCCUCUUUAGCCUUUACGUCUGAAACUUCGAACCUUCCUUUCAUCUCUUUGUGUUCGGCCCAAUACGCUGAGGCACAAUUAGGCAGACGAGACCCUAAUUUAUACUCAGCGGUGACAAAUGGUCAGUGAAUCGUAAAACGAUAUAAUUACCUUUCAAAAAACUACGCCGGACCUCAUUUAACUGACAUUAAUUAGUCAGACUGUUUCGAGCUACAGUUGGAAACCUUUCCGACUGUGAAUGGUCAUACAAGUCCGACUCAUAAUUAAGCUCAUACUCUUACAGAUAUUAUCUUUAGGCUCGGUAUGCUAAUAAGAAUUUGAUCUGGGGGAUUCUUCCCGCUUUCUCAAUGUGUGCGAGGACCCCUGAUGAAUAUUUCACCCUGUGCUGCCGCACUGAUGAGCAGGCUAGUCAAGCACAUUGAUGUCCUUUCAGCGAGUGACUGACAGGUUCCCCAUUGUUGAAAUAAGCCAGCUGAGGAGACAAGAAAACUGCAGGGAAAAAAAACGUUGGAGGAGAUACUUUUCUUGUAAUAUUUCUCUCUUUUUCUCUCUGGCAGUGACCUUCUCACUUUAAUUGGCCUGCUGUUUGAAUACGCCACAAAAAAAGAAAGGAUUCAUUUGUAACCUAAAUGCUAACGGAGCUGUUUACGAUCUAAACAUGAACGGUAAAUUUCUGUCUGAAUGAAAACUCUAUUAGCGGUUGUAUGCGCACUGAUACAGUCGGUCCCGAGUGAUACUCUGUCAAAAACUUGUAUUUGAUGUUGUUGUAUGCUUCGACUAUCAGCAAGAGGCCUGCGUAAUUGGCCACAUUGUGUACUCCCUAUAUUUCACUGAGUAUCUACAGGGUGCACACCAAAAAAGCAAACAGAAGCUAUUUUGGGAUUUCUCCUUCUACAUCUUCCUUCUGAAGCUCAAAUCCCUCCCUGAGAUUGUAAAAAUGGAGGAAUUCUUGACUUAUUAUGCGGCGUUUGACAUAUUUUACAGUCUCCCAGCGCUGAUGGGACUAAUUCCUGUGUCUGCGAUGAUUACCCCCUCUGUUGGCAUCCAUUACGGGUGCAUGACUCUCAUCUCCAGCCAAGUCAUCCUUUCCUUACACCCAGCCCCCCCAUUACAGAGCGGCUGAAAUCCAUUCCCUUGCUCGCAGUUAAAUCACACACUGCAGGCCUCCGAGUGCUUUCGCGCCCUCGCGGAGGCAAACCUCAUCCAUCAGCCUCACCCGCAGCUGUGAAUAGCUGAUUUUUUUUUUCUUUUUUUUUUUCCUUCUUCCAUUUUUUGCUUGCUCUGUACACAAAUGAUGUGUGUAAAUAUUGCAGAGGGAGUUAAUGAAUUGAUGGCGCAGGGUAUCGGAAUGGAUGUGUCCUCUUGGUAAGUACGCUCUUAAUGUAGAGGUCAUUAAACUGUUCAACCAGCCCACUCCUAAAUCUAUCAGGGUGGGAAUCAGUCAAAUUAAAGCACUGAGCUGGCACUAAAAUGCGUUUAAAAGAGUUAGUCGAAUUUAGCAGUCAGACAAGACAAGGCUGAGGUGGUGUUAGCAAAAGUGGGGGUCAGCACUGGGGCACCUGAGGAAGGCAGCGACUGCAACACAAAAAUACCAAUCUGAGCACCAAACAGCUUAAAGUUGUGUACCACUUGUGUGUUGAAUGACCGCACAAUAGUAAUACAGAGAGCCACGCGCUCAACCAAAACACCACUCUAUAGACACAAAUAAUGCUCAGAACAGCACCUAACUUCAUCAACAGGACAUAUAGGGUCCCAGCCACAGCACUAGCCACCAAAAAUCUUUUUAGCUUUGCCUGAUUUCUUUACCAAAGAGACUCACCUACUCUCUUCCAGCAGCCACUUGUUUGUAGGGGCGAGUCCAUCGACUACAGUGGGGUUACGCAGCUCAAGGAAGAACAUUUAUGAUCAUUACUCCAUGAUAAAACAUCUGCACCAUCUUACUACAGAUAUCUAUUGAUCGGAGUAUUGAUUUUAGUCACUUUGCAAAAGAAAUUAGGCAAAGUUAAAAAGAUGUUUGGUAGCUAGUUCUAUGGCAGGGGCCCUAUAUGUACUGUUGAUGAAGUUAGGUGCUGUUCCGAAGAUUAUUUGUGGCUAUAGAGUGGCGUUUUGGUUGAGCACAUGGCUCUCCGUAUUGCCUUCUGCGGUCGUUACUAAAGUUGGUAUAAAUAGAGAAGCAAGCGGUCAGCAACAUUCUUCUCUCGAGGGGGUGUCUAAAUCGACGUUAUGGUGUGUUUGACCCUAACUUAAUUUUGCGCUGGAGUAUCCCUUAAACCAACCAGGAGAUGUGACAGCAACACUUCUGUACAUGUCCAGUGCCACAAUCCUCAUAAAUACACGAGUGGUACACAACUUUAAUCUGUUUGGUGCUCAGAUUGGUGUUACGGUGUGUUUGACCUGAACUUAAUUUUACACCAGAAUAUCCCUUUAGUUUUUUUUUGUUUUUUUUUGUCAUCCCUCAUAUUUCUUAUCUUGUAUUUCCUGUUUUAUUUUGAUACUCAGCCUUGUCACUUCUUUCAGGUUCAUUGACUUCCUCCUCCUUGUCACCUGCUCCCCUGAUUACCCUGAUUAGUCUCACCUGUGUCUCGUUAACUCUACUACCCUGGUGUAUUUAAACCCAGCUUUGCCUCCCCUCUGUGCCAGUUCGUCUUGUCCUUAGCGUCAGAGUUCCAGCAUUUAUUCCUAUUGUUUGCCUCAGUAGCUGCGUUUACAUGGGCACAAAUAAUCGGAAUAAAGGCCUGUUCGGAAUAACCGAUCAUUAUUCCGAAACGCGUCCAUGUAAACACUUAUUCCGAUCGUGACUCUCUUACCUGACUUGAUCUUCACUCUUUAACCUUUGGUUUAUUUAUUGAGGUCAGUACUAGAGGUUUCAUUAUUAACACUCUGGCAUAAAACACAACCGCAGGAAACAUGUCUUCUCCUCCGGUAACGUAACAAGGCGUACAUACAGCGUAAUCAUGUCACAUCUGCACGUACAGCGCAACCUUUGACAGAACAGUAGAAUAAGUACACAAGGGCGCCAUCUAGUGACAACAUUUACUAGGGAAAAAUCCUGAUUUGGAUGAAGUGAGACACUACUGUGUUUGUUGUACGUCAUGAUCGGAUUAUUUGAUUUUGCACCCAUAUAAACAGUGGAUUCAGAUUAUCUGAUGCCUCAAAUUUUUAAUUGGAUCAAGAAAUUUUGCCCAUGUAAACAUGGCGAUUGUGUUGACCUCAUUUCAGUACUGCUUGACUUAGCCUCUUGCCUGUGCUUUUUUUGGAUCCUGUGCACCGACUCUUUUUAACACCAUGUCCAGGAUUUCCAAAAAUAAUUUCCACAUAGAGUCACAGAAAUGUUGGGAUUGUGUGGUGCUGUCCAAGGUGCUGAUCCCGCAGACCUAUUAUGAAAUUAGCAGACUUCCUUUUUCAUUCCCUCAAGCUGCUGUAUUGUUCUUCGACCCUGGUGGUGCUCUCUAUUCAGAAACUACUUCUGCUGUUGUAAUAAGAAUAAAUGCAGCCUGGUAAUACUCUAAACGGUGUCAUGAAGAGGUUUUGGCAGCGCUAAGAGUUAUAUAGUUAAAUAUUUGAAGAGGUGCAUGUCAAUGUGACCUUCUCUGGUGCUGUGGAGGAAAUAAAUGUGAGUCUCUUUUCUGGUUAUUGCUGUAAAAGUGCUGCACAGACAGUAUGUAUCUUAAAAACAGUUAAACAAGGAGAAGAUUAACGUUUUGUGACAAGCUUGGAAAACCCCAAUUAGCUGGAGUUUGUUUCCACCGAGGCUGAUCAAUCAUCUAACCCGCCUCCCCUCGCUGUCACUCAACUAGACACAUUAAUGAGAGUGACAGUGAAAAGAAAAUAUGUGUUUUCAUGAAUUUUCCUGCAUUUGUAUCUGCUGUAUGCUGCAUUUGCUGCAGAAGGUGUCCAAGGCCGUGCAUCGAGGGAUUCAAUUGAGACAGAGAGACAACACACAAUGGGUUAUAAAUCCAUAGCACUUCUCAGGAUUAAAAAAAGGGUCACCGGAAUAGUUAUGAGGGCCUGAUCUGAGCCAGAAAUUGUGAAUCUUAAUCCACCAUGACUGAAAAGGCCGAAAACUACGUGAUAAAGAGUGAAAAUUAUAGAACCAAAACAGUGCAAGCUGGUUUCGGCGGAUAAAAGCGAAGCUCUGCUGGCAUUUCUCGCUCCGCCAUGAUGCAUCAACCUCUCCUUGGCUCUGUAAUGGUGUCAAAUGCGUCCUUUAGCUCUGUGUUGUCUUGGGGAAACACACUCGAGCCGAUGAAGGAAUCGACGGAUCAAUGAAGAACCGGUGGAAGAAGAAAUAUUCCAACUGAGGAGCCGUGGCAAGGCGACGGGAAAGAAAAUCAAAAGACAAUGUGCUCAACUGCUUGUUCAUCAGUCUGAGAUAAUUGUUCUUCUGUUUUACGGGUUGCAAAACAGAUUGAUGAUAUAACAGCACUGACAAAAGAUAUAUAGGGCGAAUACACACUUUAAAAGGCCUCUUCAACGACUGCACAAUAAAUAAAAUAAGCAAAUCUUCAAGUGUGUCCAUGGUAACAGCAGUGAAAGCAAACUAUAAGUGUUUUUCUUUUUGAUCCUUUUUAGAAAAUUGUGGAAAUUAGUUUAGGUUCUGGCGUUCCCAUCCAGAGGGAGCACAUUUACUUGUCAAAUGGAAAAAGAAGGCGCUGUAUAAACGUAUAAAAUCCUAGAAUAUAACUCCAGCUGUCACCUUCAUUCAGAGUGUGUUGAUUGUUAAGCCACCCAUGAAGGGGAUUUAAGAUCCGGAACCCCUUUCUUCAUCAUUCACCAUUCUCCUUAUUGGUGUGGAAUGGUUAAUUUGAUAUUUCUUGACUUUUACGCAUGCUGAAAAUGAGUAUUAAUGUGUUUGUGUGCGUUAUGGGAGUGUAUGCACAAACUGCAGGUUUGCAUCUUUACAGUAUACCUCCACAAACACGAAAAGCCCAUUAUUGACCUUUGCUUUUCCAUUUGAUGCCCCCCAUGCGGAAAGGCUUUGCCACGUCUGUAGGUCAUGCAUCAAGAGCUCGGUAUUAAGGGGUGAAUUGUCACAAGGAAUGUCUCGCAUCCCGUGGAGUCGUGUUUUUGAAGCCGCCUUUGAUGUUUCCCCUCUUUGUAGCGCCGCCGCCACCGCCGAUGUUUGUGCUCACAAUUUCCGGUGAUGCGGCCCACGACGGUGCAGAAUACAAACAGGGAUCAAAUCACGGGGUUGAGUUGUGCCGUGGCGUCUUUGGAUAUAUUUUCAAAGACGAUAAAAAAAAUGAUUUAAAGCUCCUUUGAUCUCUUGGAAAAACUCAGUUUCCUUGGGUUCAAUAAAUCAAAGUAAUGAAUAAAAUAUGGGGAACAGGGGAAAUGUGAGCCCAAAUGUUAUCUUAGUACUGUAAGGUGUUUGUUUAAAUAUUAACAGCUUGAAAAAAAAUACUAGUAUUGGAUAAAAUAACUAGAUUCCAACAACUUUUCAGAGAGCAUAAGAAAACUGCGUUGAUUACAAGAUGGCCAGUUUCCGUACAAAAGGCUCGAGGCUGAAACUAGAAGGUGGUUUCCAGGCUUGUAGGUGGCAUUACAUCAAAAAUGGACAUGACUUUGUAGUGGAAAGCAGCGCAUGAACACACUUUGCUGCUGUACCUGUGGUCUGACAAAUAAGUAAUUGAUGUUAUCUUUGAAAUGAUGGACACUCCACUCGACAGAGAUCGCCCACUUUGUUUGUGCACAGCUCAAAAGCCAUUAUCUGUAAUCUGAUAGCAGUGUUUUCCCUACAUUUAUUCAGCAGCGGCGGAAUUCUUUGCGCCGCAACUGCCGAAAUUUCACAUGACCAUUAAUAUCAGUGCGCCGUUAAUGAUUUCUACUCGCACUGAGCCAGCACAACAACACACGUUAUUUUAGACAUGUUUUGAGUCGUCAAUGAGCGCGUCAAAUCCUGUCGCACCCUCUUCCCUUAAGGGGGGAGGUUAACAAGCUUAUACACGCUCUUUAUCGCGAGUAGCAUCAAUAGCAUGCGUAGCAUUAAUAUCAAUGCGCCACUAAUAAUUUCUUCUCGCACUUUGUUAGCAUAACAACAAACAACAUUAUUUUCGACAUGUUUUGAGUCGUCAAUGAGCGUGUUAAAUCCUGUCGCACCCUCUUCCCUCAAGGCGGAAUGUUAACAAGCUUAUACAUGCCCAAUAUAGCGAGUUGCAUCAAUAUCAAUGCGCCACUAAUGAUUCCUACUCACGCUGUGUUAGCAUAACAACACUUGACAUUUUUUUUCGAAUUGUUUUCAGUCGUCAACGAGCGCGUCAAAUCCUAUCGGACCCCUCUUCCCUUAAGGUGGAAGGUUAACGAGCUUAUACACGCUCUAUAUAGCAUUAAUAGCAUUGGUAGCAUUAAUUUCAAUGCGCCACUAAUAAUUUCUACUCGCACUGUGUAAGCGCAACAACACAUGACGUUAUUUACGACUUGUUUUGAGUCGUCAAUGAGCGAGUCAAAUCCUGUCGGACCCUCUUUCACUAAUGUUAAAGGGUAACAUUCAAGCUUAUACACAGUCUAUGUAGCAAGUAGCGCAGGUACUAUAAUGUGAGUGUAGAGAGUAGGGGUAACAGCAAACCUCCCAACAGACAUAGGAGCGCCGCUGCUGAAAAAUAUUCUAGUAGAGACAGUGGAUAGGAUCAUACCUAUACCUACUUGAUAUGUUGUCUGUGCUAGUUUUUUUUUUUAAUCAAAGUAAGGGUUUUAAACAACAUGUAGACCAUCACAUUUUAUUAACUUUUACAAGUCAUCCUUACUUUUUGAAACUAAGCUAUAAGUUAAAAAAUUGAUGAAAUAAGAUGUUAAUGUUCCUUUAAAAGUCAAUGGGUUUCAUACUUUGCCUCUGAAGCCACCUUCAAGUUGACCUUUGAAGACUAAAACAUCAACACCUGCGGCAGCAACUCACUUAGAAAGCUUAGGGGUCUUCUCUCACCAUGUGUAUUUGGCACGUCCACCUGCUCACCUCCCAUUUACUUGAGCUGUUGAGUGCCGGGUAAGCUUAAUACUUUACAGAGACAUGUGGGAUGUGCUUCCUCAACUUUUUGACACACAAUAUUUACUCACAGUGGCUACAGGUGAAACCUUCCCAGCAUUUGUGCUCCGUAGCAGCAACUUCUUUAUUAUUUUCCUGCCUCUUUAAUCAUCUCAAGACUCUUAACUUUCACAAAUUGCCACAAACUGUGUAUUUACCAUUGUUUUAUUUCACCAGACUUGGCACACAAACUGCACCAACAUAGUUGUCUCCUUGAGAUGAACAAGCAGGCUGCUUAUUUUCACUUUACUGCAGCUGUCUGUCUAAACACAGCCGCGUUUAGAACAAAGCUCCCAGCGUUUUCAAGUUGUUUUAAUUCUUGGCAAGCCCUGGCGGGAAAAAUAAAAUCUUUUGUACAUUCAAAAACACGCUCGCUUAUGCACAUGCGAGUUUCCUACGGUGGCAGAAAUCUUUGCAACUGUACAUUCAUUUCCGUCUUGGCAGAAACACCUUCCCUUUUCUGCAGGCGAUACUUAAGACCCCGCAGCUCACACGCGCUCGAAACGUACACAAGUGAUAACAGCAGUGGCAAAGCUUAAAAGAACUGUACAUGUUUACACUGCCCCGGGCUUGUUUAACUUUAGCAUUAAUUGGCUGGUCUUGUGUCAACAAGUGAAAUACCAUUGAGGGAUUAUAACACAAUUAAGUUGUAUGCAGCGUGACAAAGUUGACUAAUAUUUUCUAAGCAGUUAAUUUCCUGUCUCUUCAGCCGCUGAUAAGGCUCGAAUGCAAUGAUUAAAAAUCACCUCAGAAAAGGCCACCGAACAGACAAUGAGCAGCUCUGCAUUUCUGCUAAAUGAAACGCAGAGUCUGAAUUGAUCCAGGCAUCGAUUCCAAGUCUGACCUCCACAAUCUUCAGCCGCACACAUGCAGUGAAGGAUUGAAUGAUACCCAGGCAUUAUGUCCUCUGGAAUACACUGCAGUGCAUUUGUAUAUUGUUGUCUGCAAAGAACGCCCUCCCCGGAGCAAAUUGAAAUUGCCAGCUCCCUGGAGACCCUGUGCAUCUUUUUUUCAACAUCGCUGGAUAGUAAAACCUGGAAAAAAAAAUAAAAGAAAAAAGAAAAACCUGAUCACCCCUUCUCUGAAAACAGAAAAUGGAUGAGCCGGUUGCUUUCUCAGGGCCUGCCCGACAUCAAUCACAUUCACUGAAGGUACAAAAGGACCUUUUUAAAUCUUCUGAACUUUUCCAGCAGCACACGCUGUUACCUUCUCCUCAGUGCCCUGUCACUAUGAAUUGGGUUGCGCUUUGGUAAACAUAUUUCCUGCUCUUACUUUGAACACCGGUUUCUUCCUCUUGUGUGGGGUUUUCAUUUAUUUUUUUCGGAGUCUGUGCGCACGGUGAAGUAGGAGAAGAAAGACUGGCGUUCUCAAGCCGUGAGAUGAAAAUAAAGGCAUUAUACACCCCUGUUAGAGCUUAAAAGACCCAGUCAAACAGGGUUAUUUUCACUGUCUAGCAGGGGUGUGUCUCCAAUGAAUGGUCCAGGGUGGCAGGGGCCCCUUAAACCACCUGACCCCCUGUAAUCUGUACAGUUUAUUCAUUAAAAUUUUACCAUUUUGAAGUGAAACACUGUCUGCUUUUCUCCUAAGACAUAUUUUGACAUUCUUUUUGGAAAUCAUGGAAGUCAUGUCCUCUUCUAUUCAGUGGACAUCACUCCUAAUUCAGCAACACUCUCAUCUUCUCCCAGUUCAGGACUAUGAAAGAUGAACUAAAGUGAGGUGAAAAGCUGUCCACUUACAAAAUAUGUUCUUCUUUUUGGAAAUCAUGGAAGCCAUGCCUUGCAAGAGACUGUUGAUUCAGGAUUGCUUUCAUCUUCUCUGGAUCCACGCCUAUUAACUGAGGCAAAAUAAAAAAGAAACCACUUUUCCUGGAAGACAGAAUUUGACAUUCUUUUUGGAAAUCAUGGAAGUCAUGUCUUCUACUCCUAAGUGGAAGAAAUCUUGAUUGAACAGCUCUUUCCCCCAAGCUUACUCAAGAGAAACUGAGCCUAAAUCCAAAAGCAAUCCACUUUUCUAAAAUAACAAAAAAUGACAUUCUCUUUGGAAAUCAUGGAAACAAAACAGUGUCUUCUACUCUUAAGAAUGGAAGAAAUCCUGAUUGAACAGCUCUUGCUCCCAAGCCCACUCAAGAUGAACUGAGCCUAAAUCCAAAAGCAAUCCACUUUUCUAAAAUAACAAAAAAUGACAUUCUCUUUGGAAAUCAUGGAAACUCAACCAUGUCUUGUACUCUUAAGAGUGGAAGAAAAUCUUGAUCCAGCAGCACCCUGGCUGACUUUGAGACUAAGUGUAAAACCAUCCAAUUGGGUGAUGAGUCAAAACUUUGCUUUCUUUUUGGAAAUCUUGGAUGCUGUCUUCCGCUCUAAAGCCAUUAAGGAUUGUGAAUUAUAGUUAUGUGGAUUGGCAUUGUAAAUAAACGUAUGAUACUUUUGUAAAAGUAGUUUUUUUAUAUAUGAUAAGUGAUGUUCAGGAAGAUUAUUUAUUGAUACUAAGUGUGCCCCUUUUUAACCAACCUCUAGUUUGGCCACCCCAAUCUAAAAGGAAGAUAUGUACAUUACCUCCUGCUUGCUGUUUUGUUUGUUUAUCCUUUGGUUUAACCGUAAAUUCUCUUCAUAAAUAGAGUUAACUUGAUUCAUUUAGCAUGCUAAUAGUUUAAUAUUAUGUAAAGUAGCCUGCGCUUAUGUGUGUUUGCUUUUAUGCUUAAAAAAUGGUUGAGUCCUGCCCUUUAUGCCAUCGACUCCAUUAAAGGAAUGAGGCUAUAAGCAGGUGAGGUAACUCUCGAUAGGGAGGCUGGGAAAAGAACGAGCGAGUGAUGGAGAGAGAGGGAGGUUCUUGUGACAUGGCGUUGGGCCAGGGUCAGUGACGGCUGACUAAUGACUUUCACUGAAGGUGUCAGCCUCAGAUUUAUAUCCCACCCCUUCCCUUGCCCGAACCCACUCUCGGUAUCUUUAAAGCAAGAGUUAUUCAUGAACUAUAGGGGGCUUGGGCACAAGUAAAAAUGCAGCUUGGAGAUUUACAGCCGAGGCCGUUUGCCAAAGCGAAUGCAUACACACGACUGGUGAUUUAGCAGUAAAUAAAAUGUCGGCCAGACGGGGAUCAUCAUAAGACAUCAAGACCACAAAUAUAAACAAAUGUCACUUAGAAAGACUGAAAUAGCUUAUUUAUGUCCUCUUUCACCCUUAUAUGAUAAUAGAAAGUGUUGUAGUGAUUACCCUGGUGACACUGACCUUUAAAUUAUGAAAAAAAUAUACACAGCAGCCAGAGGCUAUGUGAUGAGGUCUGCUGUGCACAAAAACAACACUGCUAGCUAAAAGAAAGGACCUUAAAAGACAGAAUUUUCCCUUUUGAGAAGUACUCGAAACUUGAGCCUGGUACCCAACACGUUUCUUUUUGGCAAACAAUAAAUCUUUAUUGACUCCCUCCUGUCUGUUAAAUUCCCACACCUGUCAAACUCCAUUCCUCUAGUUUGCACCACCAGAUUUUGGUUAAAAUUUCAUCCACAAGGCCAAGCCAAGCAAGGAAAAUCUUACCCAGGGUUGAUUUUGUCAGGGAUGAAAGCUGCAGGACAUUUCACAGCUGUUUUCACAGGUUGACUGGUACUACUCAUGACAAACCAGCUGGCCUUUAAAUCAAAGGCGCGCCCCCUUUAACAGCGUGUUUUGUGGGAGUCGAGGGAUAAAACAAUUGGCCACAAGCUGGGAAAAUCCCAGUCCUGCCCUCUGCGGCAGUGUCUUAACUCGCUUGUCUGCUCCAGUGAACAUUGUUGGCACUAUUUGUGAGCGAGGUUCCCAGCAUGGGACCAUGUAUCCAUCCUGCAGAACUCAUGACUUCUCUGCUCAAUCUCCCUCCCAAGCUAUCAUUUACGCCAGCUUGGUUAGUGAGCCAAUACUUCCAAAUAUGACUCCUUGGAUGCCUCUUACAUGUCAACGCCGGCCUCUAUUCUCUGAAUUAAUAUUUCAGUUUGACUUUGGAGUCAGGUGAUGUGGUGUGAUAAGCUGGGGAUGACUUACGGUGGAGGUCAUUUAGUUCGUGGUUCGACUCCCAUUCAAAGCAAGCAGUCAGCAGUUUUAUUUACAUUAAAGGCGUGGUUGAUGAUCCUCUUCGACUCUGCCCUUUCUUCCGUUGGCUUGCGUUUUCUUUGCACUUUUGGUGGUGGGGCAAGCAGAAAAGGGUUUUUUUUUUUCCCCAUCCGUCUCCAUCACAGCUCCUGUAGCUAAGCUGCUACGCUAGUUUUAGCUGCUCAGAGUUCCAAGGAGAGCCGAGAGAGUGGGAGGGGAUUAGUCGGAACUAGGGGGGAGAGGUGUGUCGAAUACAGCAAGGUGAUUGGAUGGAGAAGCAGAGCAUGAGAUUGACCAAUACUAGCUGUCCAGGAAUUAUUAUUAUUUUUUUUGGAUGGUAGGGCAAGGUCCCGCCCUCCUUCACCUCUGAUUGGCUAGAAAUGCUGGGCUCCGAUUGGUUAUUCCUAAUGGCUGUGAAACGUCAUCGUCUUUUGGGUUAGGGUUAGGGUUAGGGUUAGAAUGAGGGUAAGGGUUAGGGUUAGGGUUCGGAGAUUCAGAUGUGCGAUAAUGUUCUGUUUGAUGUACAGAGCCAACAGCCCACGUUUGACUUGAGUGUGUGAUGACGUUUCCAGCUUUUCUAGCCAAUCAGAAGUGAAGGAGGCAGGAUUUAAAAAUAUUGCGCCUGGGACGGAUGGCUUGCAUUGGUCUAUGUUUUUGCAGCCCUGCACCUGCUAGGGUGAACAGAUUUUUUCCAUUCUUUUUUCUCUUCACUUUAUGAAAAUCGAACUUUAGGACCAUGACCAUAAUAAUUACCAAUCUCUCCAAUCAUCAACCAUGCCUUUUAGAUAUCUUGAAAGUGUAACUCCAACCAUUAAAUCCACAGGCCUUUUUUUGAGUAUGUGUUCGGAACCAAUUCCCAGUACUUGGAAUGAGCUUAUCAUAUGGCACCUAUGAAUUAAAGUCCAAAAUAGUGCCCAGAGGGUGCACACAAUAAAAACUGCAGGCCAGAAUCAAACCUGAGCUGCAUGCUUGAUGUAGUCUCUAUACAUGGGGCGCACCUCUAAACCCCUUAGCCAAUGGUUCCCUCUGCAGCUGGGACUCUAUUUUCACAACAAAACCUAAAAACUGUGCAAGUUCAGAAUCAGAAACUACUAAUUCAUCAGUUUCUGACAUAUCCGUUUACCUUCUCCCUGCUGCGUCCCUAAAAGUUGCAGGUAUCUCCUGCAUACUGCACAUUAUAAAACAAACACAGAGAUAACAGGUUUUUCCAAAAGUGAGAUAAUCACCUCAUUUACAUACAGGCUGAGUCAAGCAGCUCCUGCUGAUUGCUAGCAAGACGCAGGGGUGCCUUUGAGCAUAAACGGAGAGGGAUACAGAGGGAGAGAGAGUUUCACACGUCACACAUGGUGGAGGCUUUUUUAUCCAACUAGCUGUAACAGUGCAGUGAGUUUAGGACAGCAAAGAGGGUGUGAAUGAGAAAAAAGACAGGAGUGUUGACAAAGACAUGAUGAGUCAAUUAUCUAAAUGGUGAGUGUGUGUGCGGGCGUGCACAAGUGUGGAGUCCACAGAGAUUUCUCGUGCCGAUGGCCCCUGUUAUUCAUGCAGGUUAAUCAAAGUGGAGCCUCCUCAUCGCCAGUUUAAUCCAGACUGGCACCAAGAAGUAGAGAAUGUAAAUGUUUUUACAUGGUGCUCGUCAAUCGCGCGGAGGAUUUUCACAGUCAUUUUAAAAAAGGAGACAAACUGCGACGUGCACACACAAAUACACACACGAACAGAUUUGUGCACAUUUCCACAGGGUGAUUAUGAAGCGCAUAAGGACAUUUGAGAGUUGGGAGUUGGAGAGUCCAGCCGGUUAGAGAGUAUUUGGCAAGCAAGGUAGGGGAACCAUGAUUACAGCCUGAGUGCUUUUUUUCCCAUCGACCCCCAGAUGGCUAAUUGACAAAGGUUUAAUGGCGCCAUCAUUUGCAAGAAAACUGAAAAAAAUAACCCCCUAGGCAUGAAACCACGGACCGUGUAAAAGGAAGUGGAAGUAGCCACUCUUGGAUUCAAAAGCGAAGCCAGUGCUGGAGUGCAAUUAACCUGCAUUGUUUCUCAUCGCUGGCAAAGGGGGGGCUGCACUCAGCUCAAAGAAACCAGAUGGGAAAAUUACCCCAUUUCCCUGUCAAUUUAUUACCUUAUUAACAUUUUCCUAAUGAUUUAAUCGCCUUAAUUGCUAGUUUCAAGUCUUCAUUCAUACAGUGCGGUGUUAUUUUUUUAAAACAUUGGUCCCAUUUGGAGUAAAACCAGCAAUGAAGCAGACUUUGCUUUAAAAAUUUGGCUACCUUUUGGUCAGCUGUUGCUACUUUGACUGACUUUCAACCAAAAUAGAGACAAUCUAAGAAUGUGCAUUAAACAUAUUGUCCGUCUAAAGCCACUCCAACCAAGAUGGUGACCUCUUCAAUUUCAAAAGACAACAUCCUCCACCAAGUACUAUCCCAUUUGUUCAUUUUUGAAUGUUUGAGGAUUGUUUUUAAUUAUCUGAGCCAGAUAAAACACCUCACUCCACUCCAGCAAGUGCCAGCAGACACCCUAAAGGUGUAAACACCUCACGGUAGUAAUCACCGCACUGCUGUUCUCUAGGAUCAGUGGCCAGCAAUUUCAAUCUACCCAGCAGUUCAACUUUCUGCUCCCCGCUGCACCUCAUGAACAACUUUCCAGGCACCUUAAGGGUUCUCUUAGAUUCUCCAUUCAUUGGCGAGAACUCCAACACAGAAACUAAAUGAAAGGGCAUAGCAAGUCAUUGAAGCCUCGGGCAUCUUUUCUGUAAUGGUAACAUGUUUUUUCUUCUUUCUUCUCCCAGAAGGUGUAAUAACAGCCUUCUUCAAACAACUUCAACCAACAAGGUCUCUGAUCUUUACUUGCGUAUGUCCGUGUGUAGGGAGGGGGAUGGCGGAUAAGGUGAUAAAAAAAUGAUUGGAUUCUGUCAUGAAUAAGUCUCAAUGUAUGAAUAGUGCAUGGACCACCAUAUUCUACAAGAAGAAAACAACAUCAUCGUAUAGAAAAUAGAGACCAAACGCCUGCGAUUGAAAGUGAUUCAAAAAAGUGCCCACAAUUCCAACAAAGAGUAGAGGUCGGUUAAUCUUCCUGCAAGAAGCUGGAGGUUAGGGCCAGACUGAUUUAUCAGCAAGUCGAUUAAAUCGGCCAAUUUAGCCUGUUUGAGACUAAUCGGUAACUGGCCAAAACUCGACGAUUUUCGCUGAUAUUUUCAGAAAUAAAAUGCGGAGAACAAGAUUUGGUUUCACUUUGAAAAUGUUCCGCCAUUUGAAAACAUCUACUUAUCCUGUAGAUGGCGCAACGACCUCUGGACAAUGGGCAGCUCAGGGACGCACGGAGGGGAGUGGUCCGCCUCAACAGUGGAUAAACCAGUUGAGGCGUACACAAUAAGUCAACAAGUUUCAGUUCAACCCACUUCACGAUGUUCCCCGCUGUGCUGGUCUCGGUCACGCUGAGUUAACAGUGAAGCACCAUGUAAUAUGCAAGCUAAAGUUAGAGUUAGCAAUCUGCUAUAAGCCUUGCUACACUGUUAGCCGUGUCAGUAACGGUAGAACAAACAACAGUAAACAUUACGUGAUCGAGCUACUUCUCUUACUGAGGCAGCUGCAUGUCUCCAGAUGAGACCGGACCGUAAAUGAGUAUCGUGAGUGAAGACGCGUAGGCACCAAUCGUAGUUGAAAACGCUUUUCCGGUCCAAGUUUGAUCAGUUCAGUCUUCCUGUCGUUGUCAAGAGCAGUAGCCUACAGUAUAUCCACAGUAUCUACAGUAUACAUAUAUAUUUUUUAUAACUUAAGUAAAAAAAAUAAAAAAUCGGCCGAUUAAUCUGUAAUCUGAUCUCCCCCCCCCUUAUGAUCAUUAUCGGUAUCGGCAUUGGCCCCAAAAAAUCCAUAUCGGUCAAGCCCUACUGAAGGUCAGCACUGUAUCUAUGCCACUGCACCUUGUGCCCAAAUAGCAUAUAGAUGUGUUUGCACAGAAUCCAACCCUGUAAGAAAUGGCACUAGAAAGAGCUACACAUCUGCAUAAAAACUGCACAUUGCUGAAUGUAAUGGUUUAACUUGUAUGGUAUAAUAAUCAGUGGUAAAUCAAAUGAUUUUUAGCGAGUAACCAGGGUUUAAUUAUUAGCAAGAUAAUAUAAAGUGGACAACUGUGCACAAGAAUCCCUUUAUAAAGUCCAUCUGAGACUCACUUUGUGUUCUUAAUCACAUUACCUACAUUAUCUCUUAUUUGUGCAUGAAACCCUUUAAUCUUUAUUUUGGAGCAUACAUAUUGAAUCUUAAUCUAAAACCAAUGGAACCCAGAGAACAGCAGUAAAAGCAAGUGAAGUGGUCUGUUUCUCUUGCCUCUUGAAAACUUUUCACUUUGUCGGAGAAAUUUGGGCCAUUAAGGGCCGAUUUUCUCAAAUGACUGAUAGUAAUGAAGACAGAAAUUGGCAUCUUGCUCAAGGGUGUUUGACAGAUGCUUGUGCUAGCGAGCGAGGCUUUGAACACAUUUGCUCUCAUUUAAGGACAGUCUCGCUCCUCGCUGAACUUACUGCCCUUGUAAAGAAAAGGCCUGUCAAUGAACAAGACAAAUGUAAAGCUUUGUUUUUCUAUUGACGGUUGGAUUUUCUUUUUGUAUUUCUCGGGUUGAUGUUUUCAAAAAGAGCUAAAUUGCAGCUAAUUUCAGAGCCUAAGUGACAGCGUGAGCAAAGGCCAUCUGAAUUUCACAAAAACACCCCAUAUGGUGUGUGCGGAAGCAAACGGGGAGAUGUAAUUCACCAAAUUGCCAUGGCAUUUUUUUCAGUAGCUUUUUCCCCCCCAAUUGCUUUCAGACGUUUCAACUAAGCUCGCCUGCUAUUUUUCUCAGCCAGGCCGAACUUGCAAUGUGUCUUUGUGAAGGGUUCACCAAAAACGACUGCAUAAUGUUAGCUGUGAGCAUUCAAGCUGCAUUUGCCAGGAAGAAAUGUUGGUCAUGAAAUCAAACUAUUCAAUGUAUUGUGCUAAAAUGGUGGUGGGUUUUAGAAUACCUCUGUUGGGUUGGGAUGCUGGAAUCUUUUCAUGCCUAAAAACAUGCCAAAAUGGUGAAAAUUUAUAACAAACUUCUUGAAGGUUUGUAUUGAUUUAACCAAGAUCAUAAAUAUUUCAUUAUUUCAAGAAAUACAUUGAUUCCUUAAUGAGGUGUGCCUCAGGGAUCAACAUCAGGUCCACCUCUUUUUUCCUAUUUUUGUUUAUAAUUUACCUGUAGUGUUUAGUUUCAACUCUAUGCUGAUAACACUGUCCGAUAAAUAUCCAAAUCUGAUUUGUCAGGAAUUUAACAACUCCUCUAGACUGGAGGAAGAUGUCCUAUCUAGUAACAGUUGGUGCCCAAGAGAAAGCCUAAUCCAAUCUCAGACCCAUUGCUAUUACAUGCUAUUGUGGCACUCCUCUGCAUAGAUUUGAAAUGUUUAAUAUCAUGGUGUUUGGAUUGAUUUAGGAUUAUCCUUUAAACCUUUUUUGAUAACAUUUUUUGAUUUACCUGAACAACUUGGUCCCAUUAGAGCAAUCCCAAAAGACAAGCCUACCUGGUAGCUUUGUCAGACAACAAGCCGACAAGCAAGCAUUUUUUUUUUUAACUUCCAAAAAAUCACCACAUCUGAAAAUCAUAAGGAAUUAUCUUUUUGAGAUAACAGCAUAGUCCAAUCUUAACUUUUCCCAUCUUAAAUUAUGGGAAUUUUGUAAACAAAGGCCAGUAGGAGCUGAAUUUGCAUCUUAACUGUCACCUCGUAUUGAAUCAUGUUCUUGGACCUUGAAUGAAGGCUACCUACCACUAGCAAAAUGUAACAAUAUGAUAGCCAAUGCAACAAUAGCUUACAUAGGCUAGCGUGGUUAAAUGGAGGGUGAGUAGUCAGACAUCAUCAGUAAAGGACUAAUUAAUUUUUUCGGUGUUUUGCAACUACAAAACUGUGUUAAGUCCCACUUUACAGAGAGAUGCUGAAUAAUGCUUAAACGACAGUCUUCAGAGGCAUCAGUAUAGGUAAAAUCUGUAAAAUAUGUCUUCUUUGAGGUUCAGUGAACUCACAUAACUAUCUCCAUCGUAAGAAGUCACAUGCACUGGGCUCAGAUUCUUUCUGAAUGUUUUAUUUCAGUUUAUUCAACACAGUAUUUUGCACCCGUUUCCAGGAAUUAUCACACAAAGGUAGAGCUUAAAAGGGCAAAACCUGCUUUCAUGUCAGGCUGCACUGUUCUGCAGGACAUACUUUAUAAAGUGCAAAGACAUUUCAUGAUGAAAAUGACAACCACUGUCUAUCACCCAAAGACAUGUUUAUGCAACAUAGUUGCUGCCGUUCAGUUUUGAUGUGAAGCUUUUUGGUACGAUUGGAUGCUCAAAUGCUAAUGUGGCCAGAAGGUGCGUGGGCUGGGCCUACACAGCCAUCAUGUGCUUAAUUUUAAAACUAGACAUGGCAGAUUGACUUGGGUCAAGGGCAGAUCUAAAGUACCUUUGCUGAACCAGCUCUGUUUUCACUCCAGGCCCAAACACACACUCUCAUAUCCACACAGACACUCUCAGGCACAUGUGUGAGAACCGGCGUGCAUGCUGCUCAAACUCAGGUUGCACACACGGCAUCCCAAUAACCGCCCGCCCUGCUGUGAGCUGGGCUCUGUCGGGGAGUUCUGUCACUUCGGUGUUGAAGUGUUGCUGCAGGAAACAUAAAAGUGGAAUCAACACUCUUCUCACGGUAAAUGUGACAGAUCUGUGCACGAACACACUGGUGCAGGCGAACACGGGAAAGCUCACACUCAGCCGUACGAGAGAUAUGACACAUUAUUAAACCCUCGCAGUGGUGUACUGAUCCCUGCCGUCAUCUACAGCUUGUAUUGUUCCAGUUUCUACUUCUGUGGCUCAGUGUACUGGUUGGCUUGGGGGGUUUGCAUAUGUUAAACGACUAUCUCUUCUAUAUGUAAAUUUAGCUGCGCUUACAUACCGUGUAAAUGUAUUCAAAUAUCCAGUCAGAGGUUGAGAAUAAAGUCCUUGAUAUCAAAUGUUUAAUAUAUCCUGGGGUAAGAGUUGCAUGAUCACAUAUUGUAUCACGCAGAGUCAUGUACACAUCGACUACAUUAUGUGACACAGUGAACAUAAUUUACAUGUUAAACAGAGUUCAGGACAGGACAAGAUAAGAAAUAUACCCCUCACAGUUGAAACUCUGAUGUUGAUUCCAAAAUUGCUAAACCUGCUUUAUUUCUCCUCUAGAUCUCAGUCUUGUUAUUUAGGUCAGUCCGACCUGACCAGAUGUGAUCACCAUUAGACCAAUUCACCCUCGACAGGUGGAGAAGGUCUUCAAUUCCUCUGCUGUGUCCCUGAAUUUUCUGAGUUGGAGGAAUUUUCUCAAUCUAUGCCGAUCAGUAUUUCAACAGCGCAGCGAAAACAUCACUCCUGCGUGCCGUGGAUAAAUCUGAGGCCACAUGAAAACAAAUUUUGGACUUAAUCCACAGGAGUGCAUGCAGGCCUAAAUCGGCAUUUUGGUAAAACGAUUUAUUCAUUCAUUCAUUUUUUGGCCUUGGUACUUGUGAAGUGAAAAGCUAAUAUCAUGACAGGCUCUAUCUCUUCUAACCAGCCACAUCUGGUUCUGCAGGUAGCGACUGUGGCGCAAUUAUAUCCUUGUCUCACACUUAAAUAUCACCCCAUUUUUCCUCAUAUCUACACAUCACAGCCAUUGGACUUCAUUAUUCCAUUACAAAGGAGCUUUGUUACUUGUUAGGUACUUACAUAUUGAGCCGAACACAAGGGGUAAACAGUGUGCAAGACGACACAAUCAAUAUGUAAUGACUGUAAAAAUCUCUAAUGGUAGAUAACACAACAUUUAGUGUGACUAUUUUCAAUUCAUCUGUUUACCAUCAAUCAAAUACAGUCGAGGUAAUAAAGCCACUUCUUUAGGACCCUGUGAGUCAUUUAGAUGUAUUAGUAAUUCUGCAAUUUAUUCAAUAAGCUCCGAGCACAAUGAACUGCAACGCUAUAAAUCUCUGCAUAUUUACUGUCUGCAGUCGUACAUAUGGCAAUGAAAUGCUGAUGAAACACAAACGACCUCAUUAGUUUUAAAAAUCAAUUAAAAUACAAACAGACGGAGAAAGUGGAAAUUCAGACAUGUGUCAAGUUAAAAGCUACACCUAGAGGAGAAUAAAUAUGAACAGGAACGCAGAUAUGCAGAAGCAAAUCUAGAUUAUAGUCCACUAUGUUUAGAAUUGGAAAUGGACACUAAAUAGAGGCAUCUGUGGUUAGUCAUAAAGCAAGAGGGAACGUGCAGAUAGUAAAAAGUGUGGGGUCCAAGUACAGAACCUUGAGGUACACCUCGGCUAUGUAUUUUAAUGAAAACAGCAUGUCUUUAAAAGCAGGGGUGAAAUGAAAGGCUAAUGUCUUCUACUUACUGAUAACCUUAACCCUCAGAACUCCCAGCUAUAUUUUGCUAUUUUUUGUUCGCCUUUUUUGUAAAAAUCUAUGUUGCAACUCUGUCUUUUUAAGCAUAGCAAAUAGCAAAAACCUCAGCUGUCAGUUUAUGGGUGCAAAGUUAUGUAAAAUGAAUGUGACAGUAGAUUCAGAAUCAUAAAAGUCAACCAAAAAACAAAAAUGGAAAUUGAUACCAACAGUACUUUGCUCAAAAAUCUACAGUGACCAAGCCUUUUCUCACCGUCACAUCAUUCUCUCAAGUCUUGGCUAUCAGGAGAAGAAAUAUUGGGAUUGGAACAAACACACAACAGGAACUAUUUACAUAUUUACACUAAUUCUUACAGGUGUUUUUUUUGCUAUUUCCAGUUGUUUAUGUCACUCCUUGAAGUAGUUCCUGUCUGGGAUGAGACAGAGGGUCACAUCAUACUGCUCAUAAUCUCUUUUUUGCUCGUUUCCAAGCAUUGAGGACCAUUAUUUCUCACUUUGUAUACAAGCAGGGAACUUUCUUGUCUCUUGUUGAUCUUUGGUUGCCUCUUAUUGGACACUACCAUCAAGGGAACAAUAGAAGAAGAAUAUGAGACCAUGGCAUUGGUCGCAAAGUUGACAAAAAAAGAUGUCAUCAAAACAGCUUGUCAAACCUGGAAGACAUCAGUGGCAUUUAGCGAUAGCGAUCUUAUUCUAUCACAACAAUAUGAUAAAUAAUCAUGUUUUCACCGGUAUAUCACUGCAGAUUUACCAUCAAAUGUCUUUGAUCAAACACUUAUUUUUGUGGCUAGGUUGUAAACCUUGUGGAAGGUGUAAAAAUGCCUGGAAACCCUCGAUAGAUCGCCAAAAGGGUAAGCUUUUGAACUUUUUAUCCCAUAGAGAUAAACGGUAUAGUUCCUAAGAAACUGUAAACAAUAUUAAUGGUGUCACAUGGGAUCACCGGCGAUCCAGCAGAGUUCUUAAGUGUUAAGUUUGAGGUAUAACUACUAUGUGUCGUACCUUUCAGAGCUGACAGAUAUCCCAAACAGCAGCCUAGUCAGUGAUAAAUACACUUUUAAACACUCGAAGGCACACCGUCAGUCCUUUUCCAAGUCUUUACAAAUCGUUGUGACACCAUCUUCAGGGCACAUGAGUUCACAGGGAGUGAAAAUAGUCUUUAUUCCCAUACACUCGAACAUUUGAUCCACAACACAAGGUCAUCACUGAAUAUUUAAUUGGUUUGUUCAAAAAUAUGUCAAGUUAUUUGCAAUUUUCAAAAUUCUUUCUACGUUAUUUCUGCAAAGUCUAGAGGUAAAAACUGAAAUCGGCGUCCUUGUCGAUAUUUCAAGUUUACUUUGAGGAAUUUCUGCUCUUAUAAUAAUCUCAGCAUUCCUUGUGAUUAUUCACCCUUGAUAAAAACCAUCAAACAUGUUCAGAUCUCGGUCAACAGUGAAUCCCAUGAAGAAAGAAAAAGCUUUAUAUGCUUGCUAGGUGGUGGUCCUGUCAAGGUAUCCUCAAAGCAACAAACUUGGACAGGAUUUUCUCAUGUUUGCACUCAAAGCCAAUUAAACCCCUCUGGAUGGACAUGAAGUCACUCUUGUUCGUGGAUCACAGGGAUACAUAAAAUUGCAUCACUUGGUUAUUUGUUAAAAAGAAGAAAAAGAACAAGUCUGUAAAAAAAACAGUCCACUUGAGGAAUCUCAUGACAUACUUGAAAUGGAGUCUCUUGAAAGUUUGUUAGUUGUCUUGCUUUGCAAAGUCGCAGGAAUCCUUUUGACCCUUUCACAGCAGUGUCUGGUAAACAACAAAUCAGGCAGCACUGCACUUGAGUUUCCAAAAAUGCCACUUAUUUGACUUAAGAACUGAAAAAAGGCAGCCAUGAAAGAAACACUGGCAUAACCAAACCUUUGGUUGCCCUAGAAACAGAGAAAGUGAACCUGUCAGUCAAAACGAGUGGAAAAAAAAGAGCUACAAUAGUUUAUUUUUUAAUCAUACUCAAUAACUACUUGGCCGGUAUAGGUAAAAGGUUUUUUUUCAAACCUGUAUCCUGUCAAUACAAGCGUUAACAUCAGUGACAUUUCCCCGUCCUGCUAUAUUGCGGCAUUUAUUUUUUGGUAUCACGGUCAAAUUUUUUAAAGUUUUGCAUACUGUGUGUCCACCUCUGACCAAUCAGAUUGCAUGUUGUUGCGACGUCAGAUUCACCAGCAUAUCCAACAUGGCCGACCGUCUGAUUGUUUACGUGUCGGAGAACAGAGUGCUUUUUGAUAAAAAACACAAAUAUUACAAAGAUAACGACCUGAAGGACAACUUGUGGAGAGUCAUAGUGUCGGAUUUCUCAUAUGACGAUGGUUUGUGUGCUUGAACAGUUUGCUAAACGUCUUUGUUUUAACUUUCAUCUGUGCUAAGUAACUUUAGCUCGUAAGCUAACCUGUUCAGAUACAACAUACCAUAUGUAUUUUCAUUGUCUCAAACUCAAUCUCGUUGCUGUCACAGCACCAUUAGGUCUUGGUUGUUACCUUACGUUUAUGGAUUAUAGUUUAAUGUGCUUAUCUGGUACUGGCCCCGACUCAGUACAUGCUAUCAUGACAGACAGACAUCUCAACACUAGUGUCUAAUCAGAACUGAAAUACAGUCAGUCUGCUGUUGUGUCAGUCUUUUUGCUUCCACCCAGGACGCGUCUUUUUUCCCUCCGAAAAGUUGCAAAAUUGCAUCGUGCUUGAUGUGUAUAGUAAGGCGCGUCAAAAUUCACCUCUGAAUAUUUUGUAAUUUCAGGUCGUAUAUUUGCAUCGUUCCCUGUGUGUAAGGACCUUUGGCAGAGGAUAAUCUUGAAGUGUUUUCGUGAAGUGUCUUUGUUGUAUUUAUCUGAUAAAUCCAGAAAAAUGUCUUAUUUUAAUUUUCUCAAAAAAUCGGACCUGAAUUUCUUGUAAUAAGAAACUUUUUUGCCCCCUAUGUUUUUGCAAUAAAUUUAAAUAAAGCAAAAUAAUUAAAAGUCUAUUUUGUCAAACAUCUGCCUCCGUUAGUUCUGAAAUUAUAAUUUUCAAUCAAAUUUAGAGAUCUUUAAAUGUCACACAAAUUUAGAAAAAUCUUCAUCUGACUAGUCACGUUGUGAGUUCUGAUUACAUGUCCCUUUCACGUCCUUCCACCCACACAUAAAAAAAAAAAUAGUCCCCAAGUUGUCCGCAGGCCCUGCCAGUCUUGACGAAGAUUAAUCUGCGUUUGCGCUCAUGUGUGUGUGAGUGUCCAAGUUUGUCGAGCCGAGUCAACGCUGUCUGUCUCUGAAAGAACCUCUGGUCCCAUGAGUAACCAAAGUGACACACACAAAAACAUUCACUCAUCACCCCCGCAAACUACACACACACACACAAACACACACAAACACACACACACACUGGCACUGAUAUACUCAAGGCAUGAGUAAACAGGGUUGGAAGGAUCAGGGGACGACCUUGUAUCUAAAACUGAAAGCCUCUCUUCACAAACAAUCUGCGUCCAAAAGUCUUCUUCGUCCUCCAUUACACCAUCAAGUCUUUUUCCGGGCCCCUUGCAGGAGAGUAAACUUUGACUCUCGACUCCCUCCACGCUCCUCUUCCAGCGGGUUCACCACUUAGACAUGUUGCAUAACUCCGCUUUAGUCACCCAAGUGUCUUAAGUCAGAAAUAUUUAACAGCGUAGGUUGUUUUGUUCUUGGGAUGUGGGUGAUAAUGAAUUGAUGACUGCGACUCGGCUCCCUGAGACUGACGGCGCCUUAAUUUACUGGUUCCUUCUCCAUCAGUUGAUGACAAAGACUGAGCUGAGUCACCGCUGCCUCCUUUGCCAGAAUUUGUAAUUUAGUCAAUGUUUACUGAAGUCAACCUCAUUGAGAUGAAGUGUUUGUUAUCGAACAGGAGAGAAAGCACAUCCUGCUCUUUGAUUCCCCCACAACUCCCACCAGGGGAACCUCAAAGCUGUGUGAAGACUUUUUUCCUGUUACUGUUCACUUUCAUUAUUGUUUCAUAUUUGUGUAAACAUAAUGCUCAGUCAAGCUGGAAGACAUAUGAAGCCUGCAUUGCCCACAUUAAAGGUACAAUAUGUAGAUUUUAGCAGUAUGUAUCCAAAGAAAUGUUAUGAUUAUGCAGAAGCGUGUUGAAAUUAGUUGUAUUAACCCUCUGGGCUCCUUGAAAAAAAGUUACACUUAGGUCCUUAGAUGGACAAAAAUGUCCAUCUCCUAAAAGUGCUAUAAAAUUAUCAUACAUUAAUAUUUUUUCCACCAUUUUUGCUUAAAUAUUUAAUCAACUUCAUUCCGGAUCAUAUCUAUCAAAUAUUAAUUCAUUUUCAGAAUUUUAACCCUUUAAAUGCCAGUUUGACUACAUGAUGUCACUGUUAUUUUUAAUGGGAAAAGCAGAAAUUUGGAGUUAUUUUCCAUAUAUUAGAUGCUGGGCAGGAAUUUAUUUUAUUUUAUUUUAUUUUAUUUAUUUGGCAGCCUAUGGUAUGCCAAUAAUUAACAACAACAUUAAUUAUGAUGAAUUGUUAUGUUUGAUGUAUUUCUCUUGAACAGUUGAACUAAGAGAUUUAUUCAGAUAGACCUAAGUGUAAUUUUUUUAGAAAUCGGACAAGACAUCAAACAUAAUAAUGUAUCAAAAUUUAUGUUGUUGUUAAUAACUGGCACAUCAUAGACAUUGAUAGAAAAAUCAUUUAAAAAAAAUAAAUUCCUGCCCAAAAAUGGGUGGUCAGGUUUGAAAAUUUGGAAAGAAAAAAAUCGUCCUGUUUGUAUCAACACAGCCAAAAUGAUCAACAAAAGAAAGGAAAAAAGUCACCAAAAAUGGACAAAAAUGUCCUAAGAGCCCCUGAGGGUUAAAUAUUGAUUGAAGUCAAUGGCAGGUAGUAGAAACCAUUAUUUCAUUGGCAACCUAUUGCAUGCAAAUGUUGAGUUAAGAUGCUUGACUGCCACAUCAUCAUACUAUCUCAACAUAGUUUAAAUUUCACAUAUUAGGUGUUGGUUAAAACAAUAACCCGAUCACAUUUCACACAAAGAAACUCUAUAAUCCAUUAACAGUUACAUGUAAUCAUUGCAUUACCUAUUACAUUUUUAAACGCAAUUAUCAACCACUUUUUUUUGCACAUUUAACUCAACUGUUGAGAUUACAAGUGGCUUGUAUUUGAGUAGUUGAAUCUAGUUUGAGUUCACUCUCGCCUGAAGAAUCUAAAAUAAAUCAAAUUAAUUCAAACUGUAAAAUAUACAUACAUCAAGACCUCUUCUUCUGUGACCCUAAACUUUCUCAUUAUGACCUCUGUUAUUUCUCGGCUCUUGGUGGGAGUAACUCUGAGUAUGGCGUGGAUCCAUUUGUCCAAAACACAAGUUCGCAAUUUUUCUUUCCGCACACACAUCUGCUCAAUUUCAAGGCGAGCAUGUUUAUGUUGGCGUGGAAAGGCUUAUGGCGAACCUCUGAUCCAAACCGGCCAAAUCUUGUAACCACCAACAGCAGCUGCGUCAAACCGAAAUAGCCAAAAUCUCUAGAGCAUCUAGAAUAGCUAAGCUUAGGCGGAAAAAGACACAAGUGGAGAUACGAUGGAUAACAGUUGUGAUAUGUUCAAACCAUCCUUUGGCUUUGCACGCAGGAAAGUCUUUUGUUUGGAAAUAUCACCAGUCUACUGAGUCUGUCCAACCUUAUACCACUUUUUCAACACAACUUCCUCAGUUUGUGUUCGUCACUCAUCUCGUUGUCUCUUCCUCUCAUCUCGACUUUUGCCUUUAUGCUUUUCGCUCGCCAGAAAUCCUGCUGAGAACUGGUCCUCUGAUCAUUUCGCUUCUUGUGUUUUCACACAAAGUUGACAAAACUUUUGGAUUAACUCAAGUUAUCAUGUGGCGCUGACUCAAUAUAGUCUUUUCUUUCCUGCAAUAAAAUGUCUCAAAUACAGACAUCCAUGUUGGUUUUUGCCAAAUUAAAGUUUGGCGGGACUUGAACGAGGUAGAUACUUGUCCUUGUCCCUGUAAUUGGCAUUGGCUGCCUCUUCUUCUCUACUCGUUAUACUCUGUACUUGAUUGGUAAGUGGAUACAGGUGAACUCAAUCAUUACCAGGUGCACAAAGCAGCACUUGAAGAAACAGAAGAGGGAGAGGAAAAAAGCAGAGAACCACAGCAAACACAAACAGUACCACAACAUGAGACAGUUGACUAUUUGAAGCUCUGCAUAAAAGCAAGUUGUUUGAUUUGAGACACUCGGGCACUUUUUGUUUUUUUAAAACUAAAACACCUUUAUUAUUCGUUUUUGCCAUGUUGCUGGCAUCGCUUUAAAAUGAGCUCAUUUGAUAUGCUUUUUUGCAGUAUUUUCGGGCUUAAAUAAGGUGACCAUAUUCUGAAUCCUCAAAAAGAUGACACAACAACUUGGGGGCUGAGUCACAGAGUUGUGCAUAGUUAAUUUUGAGAGUGUUUCGCUUCAGAUUGAGUGUGUUGUACACGCUUCUUACUAGGGCCCAACUGAUAUGGACGUUUUGGGGCCGAUGCUGACACCAAUUAUUAGGGGGGCAAAAGAUCCGAUUACCAAUUAGUUGGCCGAUUUUUAAUUUUUUUAUGAACUUAUGAAAAAUAUAUAUGCACUGUAGAUACUGUAUAGUGCUCUUCCUGCCGACAGGAAGACCAACUCAUGAAACUUGGACCAGAAAAGCAUUUUCAAUUAUAAUCCCACCCCAGCCGAUCGGUACCCCCACGUUUUAACUCUCGUUACUUAUUUCCGGUCCGGUCUCAUCUGGAGACAUGCAGCUGCCUCAGUAAGAGAAGUAGCUCGAUCACGUAAUGUGUACUUUUGUUUAUUCUACAGUUACUGGCACGGCUAACGGUGUAGCAAGGCUAAUAGCAGAUGGCUAACUCUAACUUUAGCUUGCAUAUUACAUGGUGAUUCACCGUUAACUCGGCGUGACUGAGACCAGCACAGCGGGGAACAUCGUGAAGUGGGUUGAACUGAAACUUGUUGACUUAUUGUGUAUUUCACAAACUGGUUUAUUUACCGUUGAGGUGGACCACUCUCCUCCGUGCGUCCCUGAGCUGCCUGCUUCAGAUCUGUCACUCUGCUGUGCUGUGAGGUAGUUAGUGGAUGAAGAUUGUCAUGAGGUCACUGCGCCAUCUACAGGAUAAGUCAGGGAACUUUUCAAAUGGCGGAUCAUUUU